Molecule: long non-coding RNA, 222 nt
Filed under: Homo sapiens (human)
Lineage: Eukaryota; Metazoa; Chordata; Mammalia; Primates; Hominidae
Description: non-protein coding lnc-DMRT3-2:1
Source: RNAcentral
GUUUUGUGGUUUUUUUUUUAAGAAGGUUUUCUUUUUUGACAGUAUAAAUAUUUUUCAAAAAUAAUACUCAUGGUUAGAUGGCAUCAAAAUCAUCUUGAAGUGUUUUUUCCCCUCAUUGGUAAGAAUGAUCCUGUGUAAGGUUUUCUGUUUAUUUUUAAAUCAUAAUAAAAUAACAUCCCAGUAGCUUCGGUAGACAAAUAGGCUUCUUGAGAGAAAACAGAU